RNAcentral lists this ribosomal RNA (396 nucleotides) under uncultured bacterium. RNAcentral's name for it is "partial 16S ribosomal RNA". It matches the Rfam family "Bacterial small subunit ribosomal RNA", at positions 360 to 773 of the family's 1533-position model. The record is from RNAcentral.
AAUAUUGCACAAUGGGCGAAAGCCUGAUGCAGCGACGCCGCGUGAGCGAAGAAGUAUUUCGGUAUGUAAAGCUCUAUCAGCAGGGAAGAUAAUGACGGUACCUGACUAAGAAGCACCGGCUAAAUACGUGCCAGCAGCCGCGGUAAUACGUAUGGUGCAAGCGUUAUCCGGAUUUACUGGGUGUAAAGGGAGCGUAGGCGGUUUUACAAGUCUGAUGUGAGAGCCCGGGGCUCAACUCCGGUAUUGCAUUGGAAACUGUAGAACUAGAGUGUCGGAGGGGUAAGUGGAAUUCCUAGUGUAGCGGUGAAAUGCGUAGAUAUUAGGAGGAACACCAGUGGCGAAGGCGGCUUACUGGACGAUUACUGACGCUGAGGCUCGAAAGCGUGGGGAGCAAAC